This is a long non-coding RNA of Vicia villosa (hairy vetch), 661 nucleotides long. RefSeq lists it as uncharacterized. Lineage: Eukaryota; Viridiplantae; Streptophyta; Magnoliopsida; Fabales; Fabaceae. The record is from RefSeq and is a predicted model, not a curated record. The transcript is spliced from 4 exons.
UGAUGUUGUUGAAAAUGAUUCCUUGAAACAUGACCAUCUUCACCGGGUACAAAUACACACAACAUCAUUUUGAACUAGAUCCAGCUUCUUCCUUUGUCCAGAUCCAGCUUCUCCGAAUACUGAUUUGUUUGCUAUUGCUGUGGCUAUACUACGUCUUACUCGCUUGUGUUUGAUUUAGCUUUAGAUUUAGGAUUUUCUAAGUUUUGUGGUUUAUUUGAUUUCUGACUUUCUGUUGUGAUUCAUUCAUUUGGAUGCAUUUUUUCAGAUCUGUGAGCUGAAGGUGUAAAGAAAUCUUUUAGGGGAAGAUUUAGGUCCACUGAGUUCUAAAGAUCUUAAGCAGCUUGAAAGGCAAUUGGAUUCAUCUCUGAAGCAUGUUAGGUCAACAAAGAAAUCUUUUAGGGGAAGAUUUAGGUCCACUGAGUUCUAAAGAUCUUGAGCAGCUUGAAAGGCAAUUGAAUUCAUCUCUAAAGCAUGUUAGGUCAACAAAGGUUUAUGUAGCUACAAAUAGGAUUUCUCCUUUAUCACAUUUUCAGGGCUUUUUGAAGAAUCUACAAAUAAGGUUAGAGUGAAAAUACUUAGUUUUCAACUCCAUUAUUAGAACUGAUGCCCUUACUUUUAUUGGUUUAUUUAAUCUUGGAUACUAAAAGAAACCAUUAAAGAA